RNAcentral lists this long non-coding RNA (1527 nucleotides) under Malus domestica (apple). RNAcentral's name for it is "long non-coding RNA (MDOM_LNC001838)". The record is from RNAcentral. Lineage: Eukaryota; Viridiplantae; Streptophyta; Magnoliopsida; Rosales; Rosaceae.
GGAAAAAUCCAAGCAAAACCGGCCAAACUUAACCCUCGUGAUCCCGACGUCCAAAUCCUUCCAACGAAGCACUCCGAGAUUCCUUGGGACCUCACUAAGCUCACUAUGAGCUUGGAUUGUCCUAAAAAUCAACCAACAAAAAGUUCAUGAAUAGUGCCAACUCGGACCUCGAGUUUUCAACGUGAAAACGAAGGAUUCCUUACCUGAAAAUGGUGUCUUUGAGUUCGUAGAGUCUUCACGAGCACAAUGGUGCCCUUGGCACCUUCGAUCCGUGAAGUUUCAGGGUUUUGUGGUGAGGUCCGUACAAUUUGAGAGGGAGAGAGUGAGAAACUGAGAGAGUAGUGAGGGAGGAGAGAGAGAGAAGGCACGGGGGAAGGAGGGAGGUCUUGAGCGAGUGUGUGGUCCAACCACAACCAUACAUGCCAAAUUUAAUCCCUACCCACACAAAAUACAAUCCAAAUUUAAUCCAAACUUAUAAAAUUAAUCCAAAUAACGUCACACCCACGUACCUUAAUACCCGCUAAGGGUAAAUUCGCCUUUUCAUGUCCUCGAUGAAUAAAAUCUCGGGACGGGCUGUGACACUAUAUCUGGGAAAAAUUAUACUUGUUUUACAGUGAGGGAUUAGAGCAUUUGAAAGUUAAAUGUGUUUUCAAAACCUUUGUUUUUGCCCACUCACAUUUUCUGUUUUGCGCCCCUCCAGGUUUUAGGUAGACUUGCUGUUGAUGGCAUUGAGGAUCUCGACGGUUCUGAUAGAAUAAAAUAUUUGUAGGACAUCUUCUGGUAUUGUAUAACUAGUACUUGUCCUACUGGACUGCACCUAGACUUUCUAUGCUUUGAUUAGGAGUAUUUACACUUGUAUCUCACUCCUAGCACUUCCUGUUUAUUAGUGCACAUUAGUAGCUUUCGGUUUUUAUUUAUUCGUAUAUUUCUUAUCCUUAUCGCUUCUGCACUAUGCACAUGGCUACGUCACCCUCACGUGACGGCCAGCAUGCCUCGAUCUCGGUCUGGGUGUGUCAUUUUCUGAAAGUCUAGGUUUAUUUAAUUAAGACUUUGAGUUUAUAAUAUUUUAGGUGUAUUUAAUUAAAAAUUGAUUUUAAAGGAUUUCAAAAAGUUGGGGAAUUGGAGAUAUAUCGUAGUGUAUUUUAAGCAAGGUUCUAAAAGACGCUAGGCGUUAGUCGGGCGGUGGGUUGGGGCCAAGUGCCUAGGCACCUAGGCGGGGUCUAGGUGGAUUAGGCGGAUUUAAUUAAAUAUAUUAUAUUUCGUGUAAAUAAGUGUCUGUUUAUACUUAAAAUAUAUAUUUUCAUCAUAAACUACAAAAUGGAAUGACAUAUAUAUUCUGAUCUAUUGGAACAUAAUAAAAACAUGGGGAACAAGUAUAUAAUGUGUGUUCCUUUAAGUAUUCAACAAGUCUCUUACAAUUUAUUAAACAAGUAAAAUGCAAAAUGAAAGUUAUCUAUUUUCAGUCUAAGUGAGUCACAACCUAGGCGGGUGUUUAGGCAGGUCUGUACAGGCUAGGCAGGUGCUUAG